CGAACGCUGGCGGCGUGCUUAACACAUGCAAGUCGAACGCGAAAGGGACUUCGGUCCUGAGUAAAGUGGCGCACGGGUGAGUAACGCGUAGAUAACCUGUCUUCAUGUCUGGAAUAAUACGCCGAAAGGGGUACUAAUACCGGAUAUUCUUGCUUUUCAUAAGUUAUGCAAGCAAAGGUGGCCUCUGCAUAUGCUACUGCGUGAAGAGGGGUCUGCGUACCAUUAGCUAGUAGGUGGGGUAAUGGCCUACCUAGGCGACGAUGGUUAGCGGGUCUGAGAGGAUGAUCCGCCACACUGGCACUGGAACACGGGCCAGACUCCUACGGGAGGCAGCAGUGAGGAAUAUUGCGCAAUGGGGGAAACCCUGACGCAGCGACGCCGCGUGAAGUGAGGAAGGCCUUCGGGUCGUAAAGCUCUGUCAAGAGGAAAGAAGUGUACAAUGGCUAAUACCUGUUGUAUUUGACGGUACCUCUAAAGGAAGCACCGGCUAACUCCGUGCCAGCCGCCGC
RNAcentral lists this ribosomal RNA (509 nucleotides) under uncultured bacterium. RNAcentral's name for it is "bacterial SSU rRNA". It matches the Rfam family "Bacterial small subunit ribosomal RNA", at positions 30 to 518 of the family's 1533-position model. The record is from RNAcentral.